Molecule: transfer RNA, 88 nt
Filed under: Acidimicrobiia bacterium
Lineage: Bacteria; Bacillati; Actinomycetota; Acidimicrobiia
Description: tRNA-Leu
Source: RNAcentral
GGGAUACAGCCGCUAGAAUAGCUGCUAACCUGGUCUUUUAUCCUCCCUGAUAAGGAUGAGGUCCCUGGUUCAAAUCCAGGUGGGCCCA